Molecule: long non-coding RNA, 297 nt
Filed under: Bos taurus (domestic cattle)
Lineage: Eukaryota; Metazoa; Chordata; Mammalia; Artiodactyla; Bovidae
Description: long non-coding RNA NONBTAT005919
Source: RNAcentral
UCCUCUGCCAAGUGGCCAAAGGCCUUAAGCAAACUAAACAGAAAGAAGUUAGUACAAAUGUUGGAAUUCUCCAGAGUUUAAAACCUAAUUUGUCCUAGAGUUCUUGUCAUUCAUAUGAUUCAAGAAAAAAAAUAAAGGAGGCAGAUCAAAUCUAAGAAAUGCAACAAGGUAAAUACAAAGCUUACUUUCUCUUAAAUCUUAGAGAUUCUUUAAGGUAAACACUUGAUGUAACGAAAUGUUUUAUUGAACAUUGUCCUUUUUUACCAUCCUCUGCCCUGUAUGCUCUUAGGUCAAUUU